This 77-nucleotide transfer RNA is filed under the name Gammaproteobacteria bacterium. Its description in RNAcentral is "tRNA-His". It matches the Rfam family "tRNA". From Rfam's summary of the family: Transfer RNA (tRNA) molecules are approximately 80 nucleotides in length. Their secondary structure includes four short double-helical elements and three loops (D, anti-codon, and T loops). The record is from RNAcentral. RNAcentral also lists the same sequence under 1 other name. Lineage: Bacteria; Pseudomonadati; Pseudomonadota; Gammaproteobacteria.
GUGGACGUAGCUCAGCAGGUUAGAGUCCCGGAUUGUGGAUCCGGUUGUCGUGGGUUCAAAUCCCACCGUCCACCCCA